CUAAAAUGCACCAGAUUCUCACUGAGAAAGAGCAGCGUUUACUCAGAGAUCUCAGGGAAGAAGAGGAGAGGAUUGUAGAACCAAUGGAGAAAAACCUUCGAGAGAUUCAGGAGAAUUUAAAUUCUAUUGAGGAGAAACUCUCAAAGUUACAGAAACAGAUGGAGCAAAAAGACGAAUUGAUGUUUCUGAAGGAGGAAGCUUGUCGGAAGAGAAGGAUCAGUGUGGUGCAGAACACACUGGCAGCUGCUGAUGCCUCUCUGUUUCUCAGGCAGUUCACCAGUCCUUUACAGUACACGGUCUGGAGAGAAAUGAUACACACCAUUCACCCAGUCAUUGUGCUGAACAUCAUCACUAAGGUGUUGCAAUUACUGAGACCUGGUGACAGAAUCCUCGAACAUCAUCUCAGCUGGAAACAUAACAAUCACUGAAACCAUGGCGAUGGAAACUGAUGUCAAAGCUGAUAAUGUAACAACUGACCAAAAGCACAGGGGAUGGUGUCAAUACAUUUCAUCAUCACAACACUCUACCCAGUGAGUGUGAGAGAGAGAGAGAGAGAGAAACUUCACCAGCACUUCAAAGCGACGCUUAAGCAAUGAAACAGAAAAAGCAGAAGCCAAAAGUACAAAGAAGGUUUUCGCUGAGGCAACUACCGGUGAAGUUAUCAUUCCCACUGUGGUGGUUACCUCUCAGAGGCUCAGUUAUGAAACCUCUGCUACGAAUGAAGGGGUUGCCAGUGAGGCGCUUAUCCAAUAAGCCAAGGCUACCCACCCACUGUCUGAAGUCGGAAAGAAGGGUGCCACUCACGAAGGGAGGGAAGAGGCUGCCAGAAAGAUGCCUGCCUACAAAGGUAGCAAGGAAAAUGCCAGUGAAGUGUUUCUCCAAGAACAGUUCCAUCCCAAGGAAGAGUUCGAAUAUAAAGAACAUCAUUCAGGAGCCAUCUGUCCCAGCAAGAAGAUCCCCAGCUAGCAUAAAUCUUCUUAAUGCUUCUUAAAAUGACAUAUACAGCCACAAAGCAUAUGCAGCAUAA
Molecule: RNA transcript, 1027 nt
Organism: Hemiscyllium ocellatum (epaulette shark)
Lineage: Eukaryota; Metazoa; Chordata; Chondrichthyes; Orectolobiformes; Hemiscylliidae
Gene name: E3 ubiquitin-protein ligase TRIM69-like
Exons: 5
Source: RefSeq, a predicted model, not a curated record